GCAGAAGUGCUGGAAUAGGCAGACAGGCAUGUUUGAGGGGCAUGUGCGAGGAAUCGCGUGAGGGUUCAAGUCCCUCUUUCUGCACCA
This 87-nucleotide transfer RNA is filed under the name Peptoniphilus harei. Its description in RNAcentral is "tRNA-Leu". It matches the Rfam family "tRNA". Rfam says of the family: Transfer RNA (tRNA) molecules are approximately 80 nucleotides in length. Their secondary structure includes four short double-helical elements and three loops (D, anti-codon, and T loops). Lineage: Bacteria; Bacillati; Bacillota; Tissierellia; Tissierellales; Peptoniphilaceae. The record is from RNAcentral. RNAcentral also lists the same sequence under 1 other name.